CAAGGAGCCCUCCCUCCCGGAACAGCGGCGCAGCCUGCCCCAGCCUCCUCCUCCCCGGAGCCCGCCUGGGCUUCGGGAAGCCCAGGAUCCAGACAUUGAACUGGGUUGUUAGGCUUGGUGGCAAGUGCCUUUACUCACUGGCCCCAGAAGUGGAUUGCUUUUCUCUUCAAUAUGACAAGUAUCACCGGCAAGAUCAGUGUCUGUAAAAUAAUUCUGACAGUGCCCACCUCACUGACAGUUGUUCAUCCUUGCAUAAAUCCACAAGCUCUGUCCUCUUAAGAGUGCCCAGAGCUCUCUUGUGAUCUCAGUACUGGAUCCUAGGAGUUGAGAAUUCAGCCAGAACAGAGGAGAACACACCUCAGCGCUGGACCUUGUGAGCACACCAGUUUUUGCUGCAAAUAAAUCAAAACUAAACUUAGUUGUUUAACAAAAAUAAAAUAAAAUCAGAAAACAGAAAACAA
This is a long non-coding RNA of Mastomys coucha (southern multimammate mouse), 461 nucleotides long. RefSeq lists it as uncharacterized. The transcript is spliced from 2 exons. NCBI's taxonomy places the organism in Eukaryota, Metazoa, Chordata, Mammalia, Rodentia, Muridae. The record is from RefSeq and is a predicted model, not a curated record.